Molecule: ribosomal RNA, 433 nt
Filed under: uncultured Adlercreutzia sp.
Lineage: Bacteria; Bacillati; Actinomycetota; Coriobacteriia; Eggerthellales; Eggerthellaceae
Description: partial 16S ribosomal RNA
Rfam family: Bacterial small subunit ribosomal RNA
Source: RNAcentral
ACGGGAGGCAGCAGUGGGGAAUUUUGCGCAAUGGGGGGAACCCUGACGCAGCAGCGCCGCGUGCGGGACGGAGGCCUUCGGGCUGUAAACCGCUUUCAGCAGGGAAGACAACGACGGUACCUGCAGAAGAAGCUCCGGCUAACUACGUGCCAGCAGCCGCGGUAAUACGUAGGGGGCGAGCGUUAUCCGGAUUCAUUGGGCGUAAAGCGCGCGUAGGCGGCUGCCUAAGCGGAGUUUCUAACCUUGGGGCUCAACCUCAAGCCGGACCCCGAACUGGGCGGCUCGAGUGCGGUAGGGGCAGGCGGAAUUCCACGUGUAGCGGUGAAAUGCGCAGAUAUGUGGAGGAACACCGAUGGCGAAGGCAGCCUGCUGGGCCGACACUGACGCUGAGGCGCGAAAGCGUGGGUAUCAAACAGGAUUAGAUACCCUGGUA